Molecule: long non-coding RNA, 707 nt
Organism: Nicotiana tabacum (common tobacco)
Lineage: Eukaryota; Viridiplantae; Streptophyta; Magnoliopsida; Solanales; Solanaceae
Source: RefSeq, a predicted model, not a curated record
UCAGACCGUUGCUACCUUUAUUUCUAUCAGGCACUAAUCUCACCCUAAAAGAUAGAACCCCCUCUGUCACUCUCACCCUAAUAAACCCUUCUCUCCAAUCUCUCCCUAUCCCUCCCACCGAUCCGGCGCAUCCGGCGCAUCCGUCAUCUCUCUUCUCUUAAUCUCUUCCCCUAAGGUCCUCGAUUGGAAACUGAGUAAUGUGGCUUUCGAACGGGAAGCUUCUGGUCUGCAAUCGCCAACCUUCGUCGCGCGAAUCUAGAGUUUCAUUGUUGGUUUGCUUUGCUCUGUCAACUCCUAACUCCAAAUAAGCAAGGAGCGUGAGCCCAUAAGCUGAAAAUAUUACAUAAAAGAAAUUGGUCCUCGCUUGGUAGACAUUUACUAAGAGGCAUGUGAAAGGAACAAGAAUUAGAGCUUCUGAGGAUAGAUAUCUGAGAAAAGAUAUUCCGGGAGAUGAAGAUGAGUUUAAAAAAUUAGUUAAAAAGAUCCCCCAAAUAGCAGUUCUGUUUGGAUAAAUAUACAUGACAUUUCUGGUAUUUUUAGCUGAUGUUAAGAAGGCAGACUCAAUGCCAGAUUACGCCGAGUGCUCAUUCAAAAAUGUUGCAAGAAAUGACUAUGAUUCUUUUUGGAAUUUUAGUUCAUCUGAUGAUGUAAUAUUGAAGUACCUAUACAUGAUUUUUAAUAAUAUAUAUUUUACUUAAUUGAUGGCU